Molecule: small nuclear RNA, 106 nt
Organism: Jaculus jaculus (lesser Egyptian jerboa)
Lineage: Eukaryota; Metazoa; Chordata; Mammalia; Rodentia; Dipodidae
Source: Ensembl
GUACUCGCUUUAGCAGAACAUACGCUGAAGUUGGGAUGGCACAGAGAAGUUUAGCAUGGCCCCUGCGUAUGAUGGCAUGCAAACUUGAGAAGCAUUCCAUACUUUU